GAUGAAGAACGCAGCGAAAUGCGAUAAGUAAUGUGAAUUGCAGAAUUCAGUGAAUCAUCGAAUCUUUGAACGCACAUUGCGCCCGCCAGUAUUCUGGCGGGCAUGCCUGUUCGAGCGUCAUUACAACCCUCAGGCCCCCGGGCCUGGCGUUGGGGAUCGGCGGAGCCCCCCGUGGGCACACGCCGUCCCCCAAAUGCAGUGGCGGUCCCGCCGCAGCUUCCAUCGCGUAGUAGCUAACACCUCGCGACUGGAGAGCGGCGCGGCCACGCCGUAAAACACCCAACUCUUCUGAAGUUGACCUCGAAUCAGGUAGGAAUACCCGCUGAACUUAAGCAUAACAAUAAGCGGAGGA
RNAcentral lists this unclassified non-coding RNA (352 nucleotides) under soil metagenome. RNAcentral describes it as "partial contains 5.8S ribosomal RNA, internal transcribed spacer 2, and large subunit ribosomal RNA". The stretch from base 1 to 120 matches the Rfam family "5.8S ribosomal RNA", at positions 35 to 154 of the family's 154-position model. The record is from RNAcentral.